UAAGUGAGUUGCUUAAAGCGAAGAGUGUCU
RNAcentral lists this non-coding RNA (30 nucleotides) under Mus musculus (house mouse). Lineage: Eukaryota; Metazoa; Chordata; Mammalia; Rodentia; Muridae. The record is from RNAcentral.